GGGACAUUAGCUUAGUUGGUAGAGCAGUUGACUCUUAAUCAUCAGGUCGCAGGUUCGACUCCUGCAUGUCCCA
Molecule: transfer RNA, 73 nt
Filed under: Peribacillus psychrosaccharolyticus
Lineage: Bacteria; Bacillati; Bacillota; Bacilli; Caryophanales; Bacillaceae
Description: Bacillus psychrosaccharolyticus tRNA
Rfam family: tRNA
About the family: Transfer RNA (tRNA) molecules are approximately 80 nucleotides in length. Their secondary structure includes four short double-helical elements and three loops (D, anti-codon, and T loops).
Source: Rfam by way of RNAcentral